AAAACCGUCAGUAGCGCACCAGACGUGACAUAAAACGGUCGAGCUCCAACCCGCUAGCAACUGGUCCCGCGUACAGUGAUAAAAAUCGUACCGUAAUUUAUUACCAUUCCAUCAGCUGUUUCGUGUUGUUUUACAAGUCAUGCGUAGCUAACACGCAACAAUGGAGAUCGUAAACGGUUCAUCGCCGUCCCUUAGGGUGCGCGGUGUUAAUGUUUAUAGUGAAAAUAAUAAGCGUGAGUUGAUCUUGUGCCCCAGUGUGAUGUCGCCGGAGACCAAAAGACUGUUGCCACCUACUACAGAGACUAUUAUGACCAAGCCGUUCCCUAUUCGAGGGGAACGAGCCAACUAUGUAAACAUACCCCAUGUGAUAGCUAUGGUGGGGCUCCCGGCGCGCGGGAAGACCUACAUCUCAAAGAAACUCUCCCGAUACCUAAACUGGAUAGGAAUCAACACUAGGGUUUUCAACUUGGGUGAGUACCGCCGGCACGCCACGACGGCGUACACCAGCCACGAGUUCUUCCGCGCGGACAACAAGGAAGCCAUGGCGAUCAGGCAGCAAUGUGCCUUGGACGCCUUACACGACGUCUGCCAAUGGCUGGUCAAGGGAGGCGAAGUAGCUGUGUUCGAUGCCACAAACUCGACAUUGGACAGGCGGCGCAUGAUCCGCGACAUUGUUGUUCACAAGAUGGGUUUCAAACUGUUCUUUGUCGAGUCAAUUUGUGAUGAUCCAACUAUAAUUGAGCAGAACAUUAUGGAAGUGAAAGUGAGCAGCCCCGACUACACAAACAUCAAAAACACUGACAACGUACUAAAUGACUUCCUACUACGGAUAGAGCAUUACAAGGAAAAAUACGAGCCCCUAGACGAGAACGUAGAGUCCGAGUACAGUUUCAUGAAGAUCUACGACACCGGCGAGAAGGUGGUGGUGCACAAACACGAGGGGCACAUACAGAGCCGCAUCGUGUACUAUCUCAUGAACAUACACAUCGUGCCGAGGACCAUAUACUUGACUAGGCACGGCGAAAGUCUCCACAACAUGGUUGGUCGCAUAGGCGGCGACAGCGACCUGUCUCCUCGCGGCAAGCAGUACGCCUCGGCCCUGGCCGGCUACAUCGACCAGCAGCAGAUCCCGGGGCUGAGGGUCUGGACGUCCUGGAUGAAGCGGGCCAUCCAGACGGUCAAGGACGUGAAGGCACCCCAGGAGAGAUGGAAGGCUCUGAACGAAAUUGAUGCGGGGAUCUGUGAAGAAAUGACAUACGCGGAGAUCCAGGAGAAAUACCCGUCGGACUUCAACGCCCGGGACGCCAACAAGUUCGCGUACCGCUACCCGCGCGGCGAGAGCUACGAGGACCUGGUGGCGAGGCUGGAGCCCGUCAUCAUGGAGCUGGAGCGGCAGGGCAACGUGCUGGUCGUCUCCCACCAGGCGGUCAUGAGGUGUCUGCUGGCGUAUUUCCUGGACAAAUCUGCUGAGGAGCUUCCAUACCUCCAUGUGCCGCUGCACACUGUCAUCAAGCUGACUCCAGUAGCGUACGGCUGCCGCGAGGAGCACAUAAAGCUGUCUGUCGCCGCCGUGGACACGCACCGCCCCAAGCCUUCUGGCUCCACCGAGGAUGGCCCGUCACCAGAUACGUACGCAAAGAAUGGCGCAUGACCAUAAACAACAUAGAGUAGACCAUAGACUAACAUAGCAUGACAUAGAUUAGUAAUCGGAGUACCAGAAUGAUAAGGUGAUACCAGCCCCUCCAAUAAAACCGCCAGUCCCUCCGGUCUUGAACGGCACCAACAAUGAAAAAACCGAAGAAAACGCUCACUAACGGGUCAAGAUUUGCGCGCGAAAACACGACCAAUGCUUAUGACGUUCGAGUUUUGAAAUAAUAAAAAAAAUGUGUUUAUGACGGAGUCGGAUUUUGAGACUGAUUGAGGCAAUCUAGCCUUUUACAUUUGGAACUCGAUCAUACGAUUGAGAUGUGAAUGUUUGCCCAUUAUUCUUCUAGUUGAGAGUUUGCGCGGGUUCACCACAGACAGUUUUUUUUUUUUUUUAAUAUAUUUCGACAUUGUGAUUAACAUCACAAACAUCCAAAGUUGCUUUGUAGGUACUAUUUUUAUUUGAUUAAGACGUAAUGUUAUUUUGAUGUAAAUAUUUAAAGUAGGUAUAUUUUUAGUAGAAUUUGUAGCAAUGAACUAAAUAAUUUUUAAUUAGUUUAUGUGACUUUAUUUAAUAAGGCUCUAAGUUAAGGAAUCCGAAGACAAAGAUAGAAUUAUUGUUGAUUUAAAAAUAUUAUGCUAUCAAUAUAAAUGAAAUUAUUUUUUAUGACAGAAUGUGUGUUUGUGAGUGGUGCACCCGCUCCACACUCAUAUAUUUUUGUAAAAUAACUCCUUUUAUCCACUCCUUAUCAUUCAAUAAUAUUGUUAUACAUCAUAUACUGUACGUGUAGAAUUUUUACGAAAGGUCUAUGUAUAUUGAUAAGUUAAUUUGUAUUUAAUAUAGUUUAAUUAAGUGGG
Amyelois transitella is the source of this 2502-nucleotide RNA transcript. It is a transcript of the gene named 6-phosphofructo-2-kinase/fructose-2,6-bisphosphatase, with no coding region annotated. NCBI's taxonomy places the organism in Eukaryota, Metazoa, Arthropoda, Insecta, Lepidoptera, Pyralidae. The transcript is spliced from 11 exons. The record is from RefSeq and is a predicted model, not a curated record.